AUACCUUUCUCGGUCUUUUGGCUAAGAUCAAGUGUAAUAUCGGUUCUUAUUAUUUUAUUAUCUGAUACGUGGGUCAUGAGCCUACGAUGAUAUUAAAUUUAUUUUCAUUACUAGCAAAAAUGACCGUGC
This 129-nucleotide small nuclear RNA is filed under the name Oryza longistaminata (longstamen rice). RNAcentral describes it as "snRNA U2". It matches the Rfam family "U2 spliceosomal RNA", at positions 1 to 129 of the family's 192-position model. From Rfam's summary of the family: U2 is a small nuclear RNA (snRNA) component of the spliceosome (involved in pre-mRNA splicing). Complementary binding between U2 snRNA (in an area lying towards the 5' end but 3' to hairpin I) and the branchpoint sequence (BPS) of the intron results the bulging out of an unpaired adenosine, on the BPS, which initiates a nucleophilic attack at the intronic 5' splice site, thus starting the first of two transesterification reactions that mediate splicing. Lineage: Eukaryota; Viridiplantae; Streptophyta; Magnoliopsida; Poales; Poaceae. The record is from RNAcentral.